CCGUGCCUCUUCCACGCGCCGCACGCGCAGCUCCCUGUGCGCCCACGUGCUCCACGCGCCCGGGAUGCUCGCCGCGCCGCUCGGCCCCUGCCCGACCCGUCCCGUCGCCCUGUGCCGCCUCGCCGCUCGCGCCGCCGCUCCGCGACACCGAGCGCCAUUAAUGGCUGCCGAGAUGCUCGCCGGCCGCCGGCCACCAUGCCCCACCCUCUCCACCGCCUCCCAGCGCCUAUAAAUAGGCCGGCGCGCAGCCCUCGACCACCACAAGCCGCCUAGCCCCGCUACUCGCCAUCUUCCUCCCUGAACCGAGCUCUCUGCUCCUCCACUCAAGAAAGGGGCGCUGCCUCGAUCUCCCUCUCCGAGCCGUCCCUGCCCGAGCUCACGGUGUGAUCGAGGGAGAACCCGUCGAGGAGUUUGCCGAGCAGUACCGCGAGCCGGAGCCAGAAGACCCGUACCGCGAGCCGGAGAUCCCGGAAGGAUUCGAAGAUAGCAAGUUCAAUCUCAUCCUUUGAUGCAUACUUUGUCCUAGUUUUAUAAACACAACCUAUUGGCCUGUUUUACAAAUUGCAUAUUCUUUUACUGCUGAAACACGGUUGGAUAGCCACCCCUUGACUUGUUAUAAUCAUUCCUUAAUCACCUAGAUUAAUGUCUAAAUAUGAUUCGUUAUAUUUGGAUAUUAAUCGCUGCUAGAAUUGCUUAGGACCUUAUACCCGUUCUACUACAUAUCAAAUAUGGUGUGAUUGUUUAUAAAAGAAAAUGUGUGAGUGUGUAGGGAGGGAAAAGGUGGAUUUGUUGGAAAAUAAAUGAAAGAUGUGUUUUAACGAUAUGGAUGGCAUUUCUGUGUGAGGUGCCAAAAGGUGUGCUUGACCCGGUGUGGUUGAGCAAGGUUGGGAGAUGUCCAUCUUGUCACAGUUAAAGACCGAGUUGUUGUGACAUCUUGCCUAACCCAAUCCAUCGUGCAACCACUCGACCGUUGUAUGUGUCAACGGCUUAGCAUAAAUCCCACUAGCUGGCUUGUUAGUCAUCAGGAGAGCUGAGAGCAACGGGUGGCCAAGGAGACGGGAUAGGAUCUUGGUGACUUAUGCCCCGGUUAGUCCUCGUUGGUAGGGUAACCCCUUGGUGGAGUCCGUGUUGGCUAGCCAGGCUCAGCUAAGGUGGGUAAUGGCUUUGUUGGGAUCCGCACCGGCACCAAGAUGAUCGUGCUGCGGUACCCUACUUGUGGGUAAAGUGUACAACAUCUACAGAGUGUAAAACCUAUUCGAAUAGCCGUGCUCACGGUAUUGAGCGGGUUAUGGUUUGGUCACAUAACUAGCGUUUUUCUGGAGAUGGUUGGGAUGGUGUGAGUUAUUUUUUUUGAAAAGUGUUCGGCAGCAGUGUCGUGCGCUACUGCGGAUGAGGAGUCCGGUAGCAGUUCUUAAAAUUUGGAUCCUGUGAGGAUCAACCCCAUUGUAUUGCUCGGCUACGAUAAGAAAUGCUUUAUGAAAACUCUUCUUUCAAAAGCAAACCCUUGCAUAAAAUUAGCUUUAUCGCAAAUUAACCGAUAGCCUUUUCCUUGAUUAGUCCCCUGCAUGUAUUCUGUGUUAUCACCCUCCGUGGGUGGGGUUGGACUUGUUGAGUACGUAUGUACUCACUCUUGCUUAGGUUUUACAGAAAAAGAUCCAGACUUCGUGCCCGAAGACGUUAAGUAGGUGAUCGUCCUGCACCCAACCUUACCUGUGGUUUGGGGUCUCCACAGGAAGCUUCUAAUGGCGCAAGAGGCAAAACUCUGAUGUUAUCUUAGAUUUCGUUCACAUUUUAGUUUGGCUUGUAGUACUUAUGUUGUCCCUCGUGAUAGUGGUGCUUCAGUGCCCACUACCUCGACGGUUUGUACGGUAAUGAACCAUCUGAUGUAAUAAAUGUGUUAUCAGCCUCCUGAGACUGAUAUUUGUAUCACAUUUAAGUCACCUCUUAUGAGGGGAUGCUUCA
Long non-coding RNA from Panicum virgatum (switchgrass), 1962 nucleotides. RefSeq lists it as uncharacterized. The transcript is spliced from 2 exons. Lineage: Eukaryota; Viridiplantae; Streptophyta; Magnoliopsida; Poales; Poaceae. The record is from RefSeq and is a predicted model, not a curated record.